This 460-nucleotide ribosomal RNA is filed under the name uncultured bacterium. RNAcentral's name for it is "partial 16S ribosomal RNA". It matches the Rfam family "Bacterial small subunit ribosomal RNA", at positions 338 to 795 of the family's 1533-position model. The record is from RNAcentral.
CCUACGGGAGGCUGCAGUGAGGAAUAUUGGUCAAUGGACGAGAGUCUGAACCAGCCAAGUAGCGUGAAGGAUGACUGCCCUAUGGGUUGUAAACUUCUUUUAUAUGGGAAUAAAAUGUUCCACGUGUGGGAUUUUGUAUGUACCAUAUGAAUAAGGAUCGGCUAACUCCGUGCCAGCAGCCGCGGUAAUACGGAGGAUCCGAGCGUUAUCCGGAUUUAUUGGGUUUAAAGGGAGCGUAGGUGGAUUGUUAAGUCAGUUGUGAAAGUUUGCGGCUCAACCGUAAAAUUGCAGUUGAAACUGGCAGUCUUGAGUACAGUAGAGGUGGGCGGAAUUCGUGGUGUAGCGGUGAAAUGCUUUGAUAUCACGAAGAACUCCGAUUGCGAAGGCAGUUCACUGGACUGCAACUGACACUGAGGCUCGAAAGUGUGGGUAUCAAACAGGAUUAGAUACCCUUGUAGUC